This 778-nucleotide ribosomal RNA is filed under the name uncultured Neocallimastigales. RNAcentral describes it as "partial large subunit ribosomal RNA". It matches the Rfam family "Eukaryotic large subunit ribosomal RNA", at positions 22 to 643 of the family's 3401-position model. The record is from RNAcentral. Lineage: Eukaryota; Fungi; Neocallimastigomycota; Neocallimastigomycetes; Neocallimastigales.
UAGAUGCGAGAGUAGAGCAUAUCAAUAAGCGGAGGAAAAGAAACUAACUAAGGAUUCCCUCAGUAACGGCGAGUGAAGCGGGAAGAGCUCAAAUUUGAAAUCUUCAAGGUUCUACCUUGACGAAUUGUAGUUUAUAGAAGUGUUUUCUGUUAGUAGGAGUGGCAAAAGUUCUUUGGAAUAGGACAUCAUAGAGGGUGAGAAUCCCGUAUUUGGUCAUUCCUCCUAGCGUUGUGAUACACUUUCAACGAGUCGGAUUGUUUGGGAAUGCAGUCCAAAAUGGGUGGUAAAUUUCAUCUAAAGCUAAAUAUUGGCGAGAGACCGAUAGCGAACAAGUACCGUGAGGGAAAGAUGAAAAGAACUUUGAAAAGAGAGUUAAACAGUACGUGAAAUUGUCAAAAGGGAAGCGUUUGACACCAGUGUUGUUUUUCCGAAAAUCAAUUACGAAUGUUUUGUUUUUGAGGAGUUAUGACUUCAUCGGCUUGCUCCUUUCUUUAUGAAACUUUCUUAAUGCACUUUUCGGUUAACAAGUCAACAUCAAUUUCUUUUGUUGUAAAAGGGUAUGAGGAAGGUGGCUUUCUUUUCGGAGAAAGUGUUUAUAGCCUUGUGCCUCUGCAAUCGGAGAGAUUGAGGACAGCAGCGUAGACUCCUUCGGGGGUUAGAUACACUUGUGCUAAGCUAUAGCCUUGUAUAGACAACUUGUUGACUAUGCUCAGUCAUGUAGCUUACUCGCUUGUGCUAUUUUACCUACGCUUAGGAUGUUGACACACGCGCGUGCUCG